RNAcentral lists this ribosomal RNA (440 nucleotides) under uncultured bacterium. RNAcentral's name for it is "bacterial SSU rRNA". It matches the Rfam family "Bacterial small subunit ribosomal RNA", at positions 340 to 773 of the family's 1533-position model. The record is from RNAcentral.
UACGGGAGGCAGCAGUGGGGAAUAUUGCACAAUGGGCGCAAGCCUGAUGCAGCCAUGCCGCGUGUAUGAAGAAGGCCUUCGGGUUGUAAAGUACUUUCAGUCGUGAGGAAGGUGUUAAGGUUAAUAACCUUAGCAAUUGACGUUAGCGACAGAAGAAGCACCGGCUAACUCCGUGCCAGCAGCCGCGGUAAUACGGAGGGUGCGAGCGUUAAUCGGAAUUACUGGGCGUAAAGGGCACGCAGGCGGUUAAUUAAGUUGGAUGUGAAAUCCCCGGGCUUAACCUGGGAAUGGCAUUCAAGACUGGUUAGCUAGAGUCUUGUAGAGGGGGUUAGAAUUCCAUGUGUAGCGGUGAAAUGCGUAGAGAUGUGGAGGAAUACCGGUGGCGAAGGCGGCCCCUGGACAAAGACUGGCGCUCAUGUGCGAAAGCGUGGGGAGCAAAC